UCUAUUAAAGGAUAAUA
RNAcentral lists this transfer RNA (17 nucleotides) under Bungarus fasciatus (banded krait). RNAcentral describes it as "partial transfer RNA-Leu". The record is from RNAcentral. Lineage: Eukaryota; Metazoa; Chordata; Lepidosauria; Squamata; Elapidae.